RNAcentral lists this transfer RNA (77 nucleotides) under Sulfurimonas hongkongensis. Its description in RNAcentral is "tRNA-Met". It matches the Rfam family "tRNA". From Rfam's summary of the family: Transfer RNA (tRNA) molecules are approximately 80 nucleotides in length. Lineage: Bacteria; Pseudomonadati; Campylobacterota; Epsilonproteobacteria; Campylobacterales; Sulfurimonadaceae. RNAcentral also lists the same sequence under 3 other names. The record is from RNAcentral.
GGGUCUUUAGCUCAGUUGGUUAGAGCCCUCCGCUCAUAACGGAGUGGUCGCGUGUUCGAGUCACGCAGGACCCACCA